This 72-nucleotide transfer RNA is filed under the name Callorhinchus milii (elephant shark). Its description in RNAcentral is "tRNA-Ser (TGA) (tRNA-Ser-TGA-14-1)". It matches the Rfam family "tRNA". Rfam says of the family: Transfer RNA (tRNA) molecules are approximately 80 nucleotides in length. Their secondary structure includes four short double-helical elements and three loops (D, anti-codon, and T loops). The record is from Rfam by way of RNAcentral. Lineage: Eukaryota; Metazoa; Chordata; Chondrichthyes; Chimaeriformes; Callorhinchidae.
AGUCCUGUAGCUCAGUGGUUAGAGCACUCGCUUUGAAUGCGAGAGACCUGGGUUCGAUUCCCGGCAGGGUGA